GACGAACGCUGGCGGCGUGCUUAACACAUGCAAGUCGAACGGAAAGGCCCUGAGUUUGUGGGGUGCUCGAGUGGCGAACGGGUGAGUAACACGUGAGUAACCUGCCCUUGACUUUGGGAUAACUUCAGGAAACUGGGGCUAAUACCGGAUAGGAGAUCCUGCUGCAUGGUGGGGGUUGGAAAGUGACGGUGGUUGGGGAUGGAUUGGCGGCUUAUCAGCUGGUUGGGGGGGUAGUGGCUUACCAAGGGUUUGACGGGUAGCCGGCCUGGGAGGGUGACCGGCGACAUUGGGACUAAGGUACGCAGCAGACGCCAACGGGCGGCAGCAGGGGGGAGUAUUGCGGAACGGGGGGAAGCCUGUUGCGGCAACGCCGCGUUCGGGAUGACGGCCUUCGGGGUGUGAACCGAUUUCGCCUGUGACGAAGCGUGAGUGACGGUAAUGGGUAAAGAAGCACCGGCUAACUACGUG
RNAcentral lists this ribosomal RNA (468 nucleotides) under uncultured bacterium. Its description in RNAcentral is "partial 16S ribosomal RNA". It matches the Rfam family "Bacterial small subunit ribosomal RNA", at positions 28 to 507 of the family's 1533-position model. The record is from RNAcentral.